CCUACGGGAGGCUGCAGUGGGGAAUAUUGCGCAAUGGGCGAAAGCCUGACGCAGCGACGCCGCGUGCGGGAUGAAGGUCUUCUGAUCGUAAACCUCUGUCAGCAGGGAAGAACGGUCACUGUGCUAAUCAGCAGUGAAUUGACGGUACCUGCAAAGGCAGCACCGGCUAACUCCGUGCCAGCAGCCGCGGUAAUACGGAUGGUGCGAGCGUUAAUCGGAUUUACUGGGCGUAAAGCGCUCGUAGGCGGUAUGUCAAGUCAAGGGUGAAAUCCCCGCGCUCAACGUGGGAACUGCCUUUGAAACUGGCAAACUGGAGUGUGUGAGAGGAUAGUGGAAUUCCAGGUGUAGGAGUGAAAUCCGUAGAUAUCUGGAGGAACAUCAGUGGCGAAGGCGACUAUCUGGAACAUAACUGACGCUGAGGAGCGAAAGCGUGGGUAGCAAACAGGAUUAGAUACCCCAGUAGUC
Molecule: ribosomal RNA, 465 nt
Filed under: uncultured bacterium
Lineage: Bacteria
Description: partial 16S ribosomal RNA
Rfam family: Bacterial small subunit ribosomal RNA
Source: RNAcentral